This 492-nucleotide ribosomal RNA is filed under the name uncultured bacterium. Its description in RNAcentral is "partial 16S ribosomal RNA". It matches the Rfam family "Bacterial small subunit ribosomal RNA", at positions 29 to 507 of the family's 1533-position model. The record is from RNAcentral.
AGUGAACGCUGGCGGUAGGCCUAACACAUGCAAGUCGAACGGCAGCACAGUAAGAGCUUGCUCUUACGGGUGGCGAGUGGCGGACGGGUGAGGAAUACAUCGGAAUCUACUUUUUCGUGGGGGAUAACGUAGGGAAACUUACGCUAAUACCGCAUACGACCUACGGGUGAAAGCAGGGGAUCUUCGGACCUUGCGCGAUUGAAUGAGCCGAUGUCGGAUUAGCUAGUUGGCGGGGUAAAGGCCCACCAAGGCGACGAUCCGUAGCUGGUCUGAGAGGAUGAUCAGCCACACUGGAACUGAGACACGGUCCAGACUCCUACGGGAGGCAGCAGUGGGGAAUAUUGGACAAUGGGCGCAAGCCUGAUCCAGCCAUACCGCGUGGGUGACGAAGGCCUUCGGGUUGUAAAGCCCUUUUGUUGGGAAAGAAAAGCAGCAGGUUAAUACCCAGCUGUUCUGACGGUACCCAAAGAAUAAGCACCGGCUAACUUCGUG